AACGAACGCUGGCGGCAUGCCUAACACAUGCAAGUCGAACGAGACCUUCGGUCUAGUGGCGCACGGGUGCGUAACGCGUGGGAAUCUGCCCUUGGGUUCGGAAUAACAGUUAGAAAUGACUGCUAAUACCGGAUAAUGUCUUCGGACCAAAGAUUUAUCGCCCAGGGAUGAGCCCGCGUAGGAUUAGCUAGUUGGUGAGGUAAAGGCUCACCAAGGCGACGAUCCUUAGCUGGUCUGAGAGGAUGAUCAGCCACACUGGGACUGAGACACGGCCCAGACUCCUACGGGAGGCAGCAGUGGGGAAUAUUGGACAAUGGGCGAAAGCCUGAUCCAGCAAUGCCGCGUGAGUGAUGAAGGCCUUAGGGUUGUAAAGCUCUUUUACCCGGGAUGAUAAUGACAGUACCGGGAGAAUAAGCUCCGGCUAACUCCGUGCCAGCAGCCGCGGUAAU
Molecule: ribosomal RNA, 449 nt
Filed under: uncultured bacterium
Lineage: Bacteria
Description: bacterial SSU rRNA
Rfam family: Bacterial small subunit ribosomal RNA
Source: RNAcentral